Dreissena polymorpha is the source of this 1052-nucleotide long non-coding RNA. RefSeq lists it as uncharacterized. The record is from RefSeq and is a predicted model, not a curated record. The transcript is spliced from 3 exons. Lineage: Eukaryota; Metazoa; Mollusca; Bivalvia; Myida; Dreissenidae.
AAUACUGACUGGGCCAAAAUAUUUCAUAUUGGUCCCCUUAAUGUUACAGCAAUUGCUGAGCACAGCUGAAGACUGUUUAAUGAAAGGCUCAGCGGUAUCAAAGUCCAGCAAUGUGCGGGGACACGGCCUAUCCAUAUCCGUAUAUUACAUCAUUUUAGCUGUCACUAACAUGGGAGAUAACUGUAGAUCUGCACCAGCACAACUGCUAAGCACAGAAGACAAAGGAGUAGUGAAAGGCUCAGCCAAAUCAAAGUCCAGCGAUGUGAGGGUGACACAGCCUUUCAAGUCGUCGUAUUGCAACAUGAAGGACAUUUUAGCUGAAACUAACUAGGGAGAGAACUGUAGAUCUGCACCAGCACAGAGCACCAGCAUUGAUAUCGAGUUGGCCCAGCAACCACACCAGUCCUGCCUGCAGAAGCCCCAGUCCAGAUUGACCCUCCCCCUCCAUUGACUUCUAACUCCUCCCCCUUGACCUCCUGCCUCAAAAAGUCAGCAUCGUUGAACAACUCUGUUCUGCAGGAGAUUCUUAGGGUGAUUCUGUUCUGACAAACGCAAUGCCCACGUCACGUUUUCCAAACAUAAGCCUGGGUAGUUUUGUUAAGCUAGAGUUCCGCGUGGGCCUGAAAGGGACGAGUGUUACAGACACGAAAAGUUAUAGCAGUAGUUAUGGUAACGCUAACAGUCAGUUGUUGCUGUUGGAUAUCACAACAAAUAUCAUGAAGAAUAAAAAGUUCAAUCACUUGUUCCAAUCUGUAUGGGACAAACAGAAAUUGAACAGGAGAGAAUCAAGGAACAAUAAAAGGGUGAGCUUUCCUAGUGGCAUACGUCUGCUGUUGAUAGUUUGGACAACAGUAGGGUUACGGACUGCCCCAGAUUGUCCUCUCAGCGGCCAAAAUAUCAUAAUAGAACAGACUUUUGGCAAUGUUACUGACAAAAAAAGGCAAAAAUGACUUGGUUGUGAACACCAAGAGCGCGAUACAUCUAUGCUGACACAGAAAGGCAGUAAUAACUUGGUUUUGAAAACCCAGAGCACAAUACAUCCAUGCUGACAC